This is a non-coding RNA of Coffea arabica (coffee), 1013 nucleotides long. Lineage: Eukaryota; Viridiplantae; Streptophyta; Magnoliopsida; Gentianales; Rubiaceae. The record is from RefSeq and is a predicted model, not a curated record.
UUUCCUCUACACAAAUUUCCCUCAAACUCACCACAACACCUUACCUUGUUAUCAUCGACAAGGAGUGAGCUGCGGAAGCAAACCAUGAGGACGAGAGGAAACCAGAGAAAGUGUUGAGUGAGCUGCGGCCUUGAGCUGUCCGAGAGAGGGAGAGAGCAAGAGGUCACCGUGCGAGCUUCUUUCCUUCCUCCACCACUGCCGAGCUGCCAUCUCCUUCAUCAUCCUCCACCAGCUGAGGUCAAUCACACCCACCAACUUCACAGCCUACACAAACCAAGCUCAGCCCAGCCAUACCUUAAUUCCAUAGCCAGCCGAGAGUGAGAGUGAGGGAGAGCCGAGCUUCUUGUUUCUUUUCUUUCUGUCCGUAAGCUAGAGAGGGAAGAGAGGGACUUGCGAUUCAUUCUGUCUUCUAUCCGUGAGCUGGUGAAGAGCUUGAGACCAGAUUCCUUCAUCCAGCCGCAAGCCAGAGCAAGGGAGAGAGGGAGAGGCAGAGCUAGCGGUCUGCAUUUUUUUUCUUUCCUGGACUGCCGAAGGGAGGAAAAUAAUUUCUGCUGCUAACCGUGUGUGUACUCCAUUUGAGGGUAUAGCGAGGACGUGGAAUUUUGAAUCCCAGCUUGAACUCUGAACUUCACUUUUGGGUUCUGGAAACUGAAAGCUGGAUGCUUACUUAUGUUUUCCUUAUGGAUUGUAUUUGACUACUAUAACUUAUUCUGUGGGCUGUAAUGUGUUAUUUGGGAUAAUGUACUUUUCUUUUUGGGUUGCCACUUGAAGCUGGAAAAUGUGUAAAUCCUAAUUCGAUUACUUGGCUUGUAAGCUUGUAUUAGGGAUUUAUGUAUUUAUCUAUCUGGUUGGGUACGACUUAUACUUCGGUACGUAGCUCGUAGGUCGUUUAAGGGCCUCGACUGGUUAUUUUUAUCAUUGCUAUCUCUGAAGAAUGGGGCUUUAGGUAUGAUUCUAUUUGGGAAAAGUUGAUUUGUAAUAGAUUAGUUUAUUCUUCGAAAGGUUUCGGGUUA